This 920-nucleotide ribosomal RNA is filed under the name uncultured bacterium. RNAcentral describes it as "bacterial SSU rRNA". It matches the Rfam family "Bacterial small subunit ribosomal RNA", at positions 1 to 921 of the family's 1533-position model. The record is from RNAcentral.
UAGAGUUUGAUCCUGGCUCAGAUUGAACGCUGGUGGCAGGCUUAACACAUGCAAGUCGAGCGGGGAAAGGUAGCUUGCUACCUGACCUAGCGGCGGACGGGUGAGUAAUGCUUAGGAAUCUGCCUAUUAGUGGGGGACAACAUUCCGAAAGGAGUGCUAAUACCGCAUACGCCCUACGGGGGAAAGCAGGGGAUCUUCGGACCUUGCGCUAAUAGAUGAGCCUAAGUCAGAUUAGCUAGUUGGUGGGGUAAAGGCCUACCAAGGCGACGAUCUGUAGCGGGUCUGAGAGGAUGAUCCGCCACACUGGGACUGAGACACGGCCCAGACCCCUACGGGAGGCAGCAGUGGGGAAUAUUGGACAAUGGGCGAAAGCCUGAUCCAGCCAUGCCGCGUGUGUGAAGAAGGCCUUUUGGUUGUAAAGCACUUUAAGCGAGGAGGAGGCUACUUAGAUUAAUACUCUAGGGUAGUGGACGUUACUCGCAGAAUAAGCACCGGCUAACUCUGUGCCAGCAGCCGCGGUAAUACAGAGGGUGCGAGCGUUAAUCGGAUUUACUGGGCGUAAAGCGUGCGUAGGCGGCUUUUUAAGUCGGAUGUGAAAUCCCUGAGCUUAACUUAGGAAUUGCAUUCGAUACUGGGAAGCUAGAGUAUGGGAGAGGAUGGUAGAAUUCCAGGUGUAGCGGUGAAAUGCGUAGAGAUCUGGAGGAAUACCGAUGGCGAAGGCAGCCAUCUGGCCUAAUACUGACGCUGAGGUACGAAAGCAUGGGGAGCAAACAGGAUUAGAUACCCUGGUAGUCCAUGCCGUAAACGAUGUCUACUAGCCGUUGGGGCCUUUGAGGCUUUAGUGGCGCAGCUAACGCGAUAAGUAGACCGCCUGGGGAGUACGGUCGCAAGACUAAAACUCAAAUGAAUUGACGGGGGCC